This 253-nucleotide ribosomal RNA is filed under the name uncultured bacterium. RNAcentral describes it as "partial 16S ribosomal RNA". It matches the Rfam family "Bacterial small subunit ribosomal RNA", at positions 524 to 776 of the family's 1533-position model. The record is from RNAcentral.
UACGGAGGGGGCGAGCGUUAUUCGGAAUUAUUGGGCGUAAAGGGCGCGUAGGCGGCUGGGUAAGUCAAAGGUGAAAUCCCUCGGCUUAACCGAGGAACUGCCCUCCAAACUGCUUGGCUUGAGUCCGGGAGAGGUGAGUGGAAUUCCCAGUGUAGCGGUGAAAUGCGUAGAUAUUGGGAGGAACACCAGUGGCGAAGGCGGCUCACUGGACCGGAACUGACGCUGAGGCGCGAAAGCGUGAGGAGCAAACGGG